This 184-nucleotide unclassified non-coding RNA is filed under the name uncultured fungus. Its description in RNAcentral is "sequence contains ITS1, 5.8S rRNA gene". The record is from RNAcentral. Lineage: Eukaryota; Fungi.
UUAACUAUUUUAUAGUACUCAGACGACAUUUAUUACAGAGUUGUGGUCCUCUGGUGGGCACUAACUAGCCGAAGCCAGUGCUUGCGCGGCCCACCAAAGCAACAAAUUAAGAUAAUCAAGGGUUAGAAGGACCGGUUGCCCGGCUUCAUUUUUAAUGAUCCUUCCGCAGGUUCACCUACGGAAA